Molecule: ribosomal RNA, 497 nt
Filed under: uncultured bacterium
Lineage: Bacteria
Description: partial 16S ribosomal RNA
Rfam family: Bacterial small subunit ribosomal RNA
Source: RNAcentral
GACGAACGCUGGCGGCGUGCCUAAUACAUGCAAGUAGAACGCUGAAGAGAGGAGCUUGCUCUUCUUGGAUGAGUUGCGAACGGGUGAGUAACGCGUAGGUAACCUGCCUUGUAGCGGGGGAUAACUAUUGGAAACGAUAGCUAAUACCGCAUAACAAUGGAUGACACAUGUCAUUUAUUUGAAAGGGGCAAUUGCUCCACUACAAGAUGGACCUGCGUUGUAUUAGCUAGUAGGUGAGGUAAUGGCUCACCUAGGCGGCGAUACAUAGCCGACCUGAGAGGGAGAAUGGCCCCACUGGGACCGAGGCACGGCCCAGGCUCCUUAGGGGGGGAGCAGUAGGGAAUCUUCGGCAAUGGGGGCAACCCUGACCGAGCAACGCCGCGUGAGUGGAGGAGGGUUUCGGGUCGGAAAGGUCUGUUGUAAGUCAAGAACGGGUGUGAGAGUGGAAAGUUCACACUGUGACGGUAGCUUAACAGAAAGGGACGGCUAACUACGUG